GUUUGAUUCUGGCUCAGGAUGAACGCUAGCUACAGGCUUAACACAUGCAAGUCGAGGGGCAUCAUGAGCUUAGCUUGCUAAGCUUGAUGGCGACCGGCGCACGGGUGAGUAACGCGUAUCCAACCUUCCCCUUAGUAGGGCAUAGCCCGGUGAAAAUCGGAUUAAUACCCUAUGUUCUUCACAGCGGGCAUCUAACGUGAAGCAAAGGUUCACCGCUAAGGGAUGGGGAUGCGUCUGAUUAGGUAGUCGGCGGGGUAACGGCCCACCGAGCCAUCGAUCAGUAGGGGUUCUGAGAGGAAGGUCCCCCACAUUGGAACUGAGACACGGUCCAAACUCCUACGGGAGGCAGCAGUGAGGAAUAUUGGUCAAUGGCCGAGAGACUGAACCAGCCAAGUAGCGUGCAAGGAUGACGGCCCUAUGGGUUGUAAACUGCUUUUAUGCGGGGAUAAAGUCACCCACGUGUGGGUGUUUGCAGGUACCGCAUGAAUAAGGACCGGCUAAUUCCGUGCCAGCAGCUGC
Molecule: ribosomal RNA, 519 nt
Filed under: uncultured bacterium
Lineage: Bacteria
Description: bacterial SSU rRNA
Rfam family: Bacterial small subunit ribosomal RNA
Source: RNAcentral